GAGCACGUAGGGGGGUUUGUAAGUCAGAUGUGAAAGCCUUCUGUUCAACGGGAGAAUUGCAUCUGAAACUGCCAAUCUUGAGUAUAGGAGGGGAGAAUGGAACUUCUGGUGGAGCGGUGAAAUGCGUAGAUAUCAGAAGGAACGCCGGCGGCGAAAGCGAUUCUCUGGCCUAUUACUGACACUCAGUGUGCGAAAGCUAGGGAGCAAACGGGAUAGAUACCCCGUAGCAGCAAU
RNAcentral lists this ribosomal RNA (234 nucleotides) under Candidatus Scalindua marina (nom. nud.). RNAcentral's name for it is "Candidatus Scalindua marina partial 16S ribosomal RNA". It matches the Rfam family "Bacterial small subunit ribosomal RNA", at positions 565 to 803 of the family's 1533-position model. The record is from RNAcentral. Lineage: Bacteria; Pseudomonadati; Planctomycetota; Candidatus Brocadiia; Candidatus Brocadiales; Candidatus Scalinduaceae.